CGUGGUCACACGGAGAGGGCCACGGGAGGGGUUACCCUCCCCUUUCGAAACGUUUUGAAACACAAUGCAAUCGUCCCCCUCGAAUCUUAUUGGAGCUCUCGUUGAAAAAGGCCCUACAGAUUUAUGUUAUACAACGUUUGACAUGUUUGAACGAACCUAAAUAAGAAAAAAAAUCAUUUUUUUGAAAGAGUAGCCCGCGCACGUCGGAACUUUUGGUGAAGCCUUCAGAACGCGCUAACAAGAACAAGCUAUUGGGACGUAAAGGACUCACUUUUUCAAACUAAAAUACAUUUGUUGUGGACCUGGGAAAUCCUGGAAGUGCCUAAGGAUGAAGAUAAUCAAAGGAGUCUGAGAUCCAAAGGCAAGGACCAUAGUGGCUGGGGGUAUCAUCGGAUGGGGCCACAGUGUCUUCUGAUCCCUCCUGUCUCAGCCUCCAAACCUGAGCCCUAGGACCAUGCCUCAGGACUACCUGGUAUGAUGACUCCUUUCUGUCCCCAGUCCACCUGGCCGUGCUGCUGCUCCAGUUUCAACUCUUCUGCCUGCGGCUAUGGAACCCUGACCUGUUCACCGGACGUGCUUGUUGCACCCUCGACAACUACUAUGAUUAUUAUUAUUUGACCAUGCUGGUCAUUUAUGAACAUUUUAACAUCUUGACCAUGUUCUGUUAUAAUAUCCACCCUGCACAGCCAGAAGAGGACUGGCCACCCCUCAUAGCCUGGUUCCUCUCUAGGUUUCUUCCUAGGUUUUUGGCCUUUCUAGGGAGUUUUUCCUAGGGAGUUUUUCCUAGCCACCGUGCUUCUUUCACAUGCAUUGCUUGCUGUUUGGGGUUUUAGGCUGGGUUUCUGUACAGCACUUUGAGAUAUCAGCUGAUGUACGAAGGGCUAUAUAAAUACAUUUGAUUUGAUUUGAUUUGAAGGCAGCCUCACCAAAUGUUGUGGUUCUGACCUUUUGGAACAACUAAAAUGCCAGUGCAUGAGGAUCUGAGGGACCGACCAGGCACAUAUCUUAAAAGCAUAUCACACAUGGGUGCAAGGCCAAGUAGUGAUUUUAAAAGCAAUAAAUCUAACAGGCAACCAAUGCAGGGACUUUAAAAAAGGGGUUAUGUAUGCAUUCCUUCUGGUCUUCAUUAAUUGGAGUUGGCUAAUAUUUUUUGGGGGGAAGAACAGACAGAGCCUUGCAAUAAUCAAGCCUGCUAGUAAUCAAAGCAUGCAUUAGUCUCUGUUUGCUUGGCAGAGAAACAGACACACUUUGGCAAUAUUUCUUAGGUGAUGAUAUAAAGCUGAUUUAGUAACAUUUCAGAUGUGGGCUUCAAUUGAGUUGUCUACAAUAACACCUAUGGUUUUUAACCUGAUUGGUUGCAUCUAAUGCCAAAGGCUGGACAUUUACCGCCAGCUUCUUUCUAUGGGCCUUGGCACCAAGAACCAGAACUUCUUAUCUUUGUUUAGCUGUAGGAAAGUUUCUGCCAUCUGAAUAGUUGUCAGUGAUUCACUCUUGUAAAAAAGGUUUAUUUGCGGAGUGAUUGUUCUACCAAGAACCAAUUUCAUCUGAACCCUUUUUGGAAGACAAGGGCAGAGAUUGUCUAUAUUGACAAGAUAUUCAAGUGACUGGUGUAACAAUAGAAAUACAUGUCCUCAAAGAUGGUAGUCAGGUGGGACCAUUCUAGCAAAUGCGAGGAAAGAUGCACGUGUGAACAACAUGCCGUAGAGAUCGAUGGAGGACUCAUCUUUGUAUUGGUGCCAUUUAUAGCAUCUGACAGCAUGGGCAGUGCCAUUAAGGCUAUCUCCAUUUUAAAGUAGUCAAUUUUCUUAUUGGCUGACUGCUCAACUGCUAGGAAUCCCCACCCACUUGACCGCCAUUGAGGGCUUCCACCAUUUUAAAGCAAUGUCAAUGCUGAAACGGGUUAUAUCCAUGAUGAGACCCUCUAUCUUUAUGAUAACAGGUGCAACUCUAUGAAGUCGUCUUUUUUUUCAAAGUUGCCAAAAUGUCCUCUAACUUUGUGUACAAAAUAUUAGGAACACCUUCCUUAUAUUGAGUUGCACCCCUUUUGCCCUCGGAACAGUCUCAAUUCGUCAGGACAUGACAAGGUGUCGUGUUCCAUUGGCUGUCUCAGCAUAUACCUACGGUGCAUUCGGAAAGUAUUCAGACCCCUUGGUUUUUUCCCACAUUUUGUUACAUUACAGCCUGUAUCUAAAAUGGAUACCAUUUCUUUUCUUAUCAAUCUACACAUUAUACCCGAUUUUAACAUUUUAGCAAAUGUAUUCAGACCCUUUGCUAUGAGACUCGAAAUUGAGCUCAGUUGUAUCCUGUUUCCAUUGAUCAUCCUUGAUGUUUUUACAACUUGAUUGGAGUCCACCUGUGGUCAAUUCAACUAAUUAGACUUGAUUUGGAAAGGUGCAUACCUGUCUAUAUGAGGGCCACCAGUAGACAGUGCAUGUCAGAGCAAAAACCAAGCCAUGUGGUCAACAGACAGGACCGUGUGGAUGCACAGAUCUGGGGAAGGGUACCAAAAACAAAUUCUGUAGCAUUGAAGUUCCCAUCAUGCCUCCAUCAUUCUUAAAUGGAAGAAGUUUUGGAACCACCAAGACUCUUCCUAGAGCUGGCCACCCGGCCAAACUGAGCAAUCGGGGGAGAAGGGCCUUGGUCAGGGAGGUAACCAAGAACCCCGAUGGUCACUCUGACAGAGCUCAGAGUUCCUAUGUGGAGAUGGGAGAACCUUCCAGGACAACCAUCUCUGCAGCACUCCACAAAUCAGGCUUUUAUGGUAGUGGCCAGACGUAAGCCACUCAGUAAAAGGCACAUGGCAGCCCGCUUGGAGUUUGCCAAAAGGCUCUUAAAGACUCUGACCAUGAGAUUCUCUGGUCUGAUGAAAUGCCAAGCGUCACGUCUGGAGGAAACCUGGCACCAUCCCUACGGUGAAGCGUGGUGGUGGCAGCCUCAUGCUGUGUUUUUCAGUGGCAGGGACUGGGAGACUAGUCAGGAUCGUUGGAAAGAUGAAUGGAGCAAAGUACAGAGAUCCUUGAUAACCUGCUUCAGAGCGCUCAGGACCUCAGACUGGGAUGACAGUUCACUUUCCAGCAGAACAAUGACCCUAAGCACAAUGAAGGAGUGGCUUCGGGACAAGUCUCUGAAUGUCCUUGAGUGGCCCAACCAGAGCCCGGACUUGAACCCGAUUGAACAUCUCAGCGACACUCCCCAUCCAACCUGACAGCGCUUGAGAGAAGAAUGGGGAAAACUCCCCAAAUACAGGUGUGCUCAGCUUGUAGUGUCAUGUCCAAGAAGACUCGUGGCUGUAAUCGCUUCCAAAGGUGCUUCAACAAAGUACUGCGUAAAGGGUCUGAAUACUUAUGUAUAUGUGAUAUUUCAGUUUUUUUUUUUGUAAUACAUUUGCAAAAUGCCAACUUGUUUUUACUUUGUCAUUAUGGGGCAUUGUGUGUAGAUUUGAUUUAAAAAUAACUACGGCUUUAACAUAAUGUGCAAAAAGGGAAGGGGUCUGAAUACUUUCCAAAUGCACAAAUAUUCCCAUAUACAAUGUAUGCAUCUGGUAUUCCCUUAAUCAUUUUACAUAUACAGUACUGACAUAGUUCAUCUCUUUGCCAUGAUUUCUGUCCUUGAGCUGCGUGUAGGAGAAUACAAGGGAAUGGGAACCAGCAAUGUAUUGUACACAGCAAAUUGUCCUGUUUUACCUACAGUUGAUUUUUCAGCAUUAAAUGUCUAGUGUUGAUUCAGGAGUUAAAUUAACUUAACAUUCAGUGGUGUAAAAGAACCCCUGUGUUGGUGUUAAUAACCAGAGUUGAUUGUGUAAUUUUUACUGUGUAGAGUAACUCUAAACCAUGCCCUUCAUCAUUUUUCCCAGCAUGCUCUAUUGCAGGUUCAUUUUCAGAAUUGUUUGUUUUAAUAUCUGUUUUUGCAUGUACAUUGAUUGGCUGAAUUUUAAAAGUAUGCUACACAAAGAUAACACAUAUAUAAAAAUCCAAUCAGUUAGCAGUUGGACUCUGUUACUGAGAUUGUUCCAGUUUAGAUUUAGGUCAGGGUUCCCCAACUGUCAACCAGCGGGUUAUAUUAUUUUGGACAUAAGACUGUCAACACCAGCCUACACAUUGUUUGUAAUUAAGUAAUGUCCCCCUGACCAUUCUUUCCAGAAAAAAAUUGGCUUGUGGUUCCCCUGGUAUAUACAGUACCAGUCAAAAGUUUGGACACCUACUCAUUCAAGAUAGAUCUUUUUUUAUUCUAUUUUCUACAUGGUAUAAUAGUGAAGAAAUCAAAACUAUGAAAGAACACAUGAAUCAUGUAGUAACAAAGUGUUAAACAAAUCAAAAUAUAUUUGAGAUUCUUCAAAUAACCACCCUUUGCCUUCAUGACAGCUUUGCACACUCCUGGCAUUCUCAACCAGCUUCAUGAGGUGCAAUGCAUUUCAUUUUACAGGUGUGCCUUGUUAUAAGUUAAUUUGUGGAAUUGCUUUUUGUCUUAAUGCGUUUGAGCCAAUCAGUUGUGUUGUGACAAGGUAGGGGUGUAUACAGAAGAUAGCCCUAUUUGGUAAAAGACCAAGUCCACAUUAUGGCAAGAACAGCUCAAAUAAGCAAAGAGAAACGACAGUCCAUCAUUACUUUAAGACAUGAAGGUCAGUCAAUCCGGAACAUUUCAAGAACUUUGAAAGUUUCUUCAAGUGCAGUCGCAAAAAACAUCAAGCACUAUGAUGAAACUGGCACUCAUGAGGACCGCCACAGGAAAGGAAGACCCAGAGUUACCUCUGCUGCAAUAGUAAAAUUAAAGAAACCCGCGAAUGAGUAGGUGUGUCCAAACUUUUGACUGGUACUGUAUAUACAGAAAAUAUUUCAAGUCAGUUCCAAUACCAGAUUUACAUGUGCAGGCCUGAUGUGGCCUGUAAACCAGGAGUUUCCUAACACCACUGUGUUAGGGUUUAACUAGGCCCUCAGAAAUAAAAUACUUUUGACAUGUAAUGUAUUGUCAAUUUAAUUUUAAAGGCUUCUAGGAAAAACCCUUCAAAGAUAAAGGGGUUCUUUUGUAGAACCGUUCAUAGAAGGUUGUGGCCAGAACCCUUCAAAGAUAAGAGUUCUUGGUAGAAUCAUUCAUAGAGGAUUUUGGGAAGAACUCUUUAAAGAGAGAAGGGUUCUAGGUAGAACCAUUUACAGGGGUUUCUAUGAAAAACCCUAGGGGGUUCUAAUUAGAACCCUUUGCAGAGGGUUCCACCUAACACCAAAAAGGGUUUCCUGUAUGGUUGUACUUAGCAUCACUUCUUUUUUUUCUAAGUGUACCUUCAAGUGUUAAUUGGGCUGACUUUGUCUAGUGCUAUAGCGACAUAAAGCUAUAUAUAUAUGUCAUCGGCAUAGAAAUGAAAAUGUACACGUUUCCAAAUGAUAAUACCAAGGGGUAACGUGUUAACUUUGAGGCACACCACAUGAGCGCAGUAAUUUCAGACACAAUUUCACCUAGAGCAACAAAAUAUUAUCUAUUUGUCCUAACCCAGUUCAGUACUAAGCCUGACAGGCCAACCCAAUUCUGGAGUCUGUUCAGGAGGAUAACGUUAUCUACUGUGUCGAAGUAUGCAUUUUAAUUAUUUUAUUUUUUGUUCAUUCUAUGGUCGUUUGCCACCUUGACUAGUGCAGUCUCGGCUGUGGUGGGCCCAAAGACCAGAUAGUAAAAAUAGAAUUUUUGGGGGGAAAUUACAAAGGAAGUCAUUGUUUAAACAAUUUAAGAAUUGUGCCUACAAAAGGAGGUUUAGAAAUUGGUCUAAUUGUUGAACUGAAGGAUCUAGUGUGAUUUUCUUAAGGGGUUUCUCUAAGGCAGCUGAAAAAGUGCAUGUGAACUGGGA
This 5830-nucleotide long non-coding RNA is filed under the name Salmo salar (Atlantic salmon). Its description in RNAcentral is "lncRNA (ENSSSAG00000104364.1)". The record is from RNAcentral. Lineage: Eukaryota; Metazoa; Chordata; Actinopteri; Salmoniformes; Salmonidae.